UACGGUAGGGUGCGAGCGUUGUCCGGAAUUAUUGGGCGUAAAGAGCUCGUAGGCGGUGUGUCACGUCGGCCGUGAAAACCUGGGGCUUAACUCUGGGCGUGCGGUCGAUACGGGCAUCACUAGAGUUCGGCAGGGGAGACUGGAAUUCCUGGUGUAGCGGUGAAAUGCGCAGAUAUCAGGAGGAACACCGGUGGCGAAGGCGGGUCUCUGGGCCGAUGACUGACGCUGAGGAGCGAAAGCAUGGGUAGCGAACAGG
Molecule: ribosomal RNA, 256 nt
Filed under: uncultured bacterium
Lineage: Bacteria
Description: partial 16S ribosomal RNA
Rfam family: Bacterial small subunit ribosomal RNA
Source: RNAcentral